Molecule: RNA transcript, 2068 nt
Organism: Oncorhynchus masou masou (cherry salmon)
Lineage: Eukaryota; Metazoa; Chordata; Actinopteri; Salmoniformes; Salmonidae
Gene name: serine/arginine-rich splicing factor 1B-like
Exons: 5
Source: RefSeq, a predicted model, not a curated record
AUUUUGUGAAGCCACUCAAGCCUGCGAGAGUUGUGGUGGGAAUAUUUGUAUUUUGUUGCUAGUGAGCUAGCAAAACUUGGUGUGAACUGUUAACGACUGACCAAACAUAGCUUGCUAAUUUUUUUUUAUAUAUAUAUAUUUUUUACAAUAGCAAUUAGCUAAAUUAACGUUAAAAGUGGUCUCCUAACUUUUAAAACACGAAAGUUAGUUAUCAGUCUACGGAUGUCUGGAGAUAAUAUGUCGGGCGGCGGGAGCGUGGUUCGUGGCCCAGCGGGAAACAACGACUGUCGGAUCUACGUGGGUAACCUGCCGCCUGAUAUUCGCACUAAAGACGUGGAGGAUGUGUUUUAUAAGUACGGGGCGAUCCGAGAUAUCGAUCUGAAGAACCGGAGAGGAGGACCUCCGUUCGCUUUUGUGGAAUUCGAGGACCCCAGGGAUGCUGAUGAUGCGGUGCAUGGUCGUGAUGGUUACGACUAUGAUGGUUACCGUCUCCGGGUGGAGUUCCCCCGUAGUGGGCGUGGGGGAGGGAGAGGGGGUGGUGGCGGUGGCAGGGGUGGCGGCGGCGAUGGAGGAGGAGCCCCAAGAGGACGAUACGGACCUCCCUCACGGCGCUCAGAGUACAGAGUCAUCGUCUCAGGUCUCCCCUCUAGUGGUAGCUGGCAGGACCUAAAGGAUCACAUGCGCGAGGCAGGUGAUGUAUGUUACGCUGACGUGUUCCGGGACGGUACCGGCGUGGUGGAGUUCGUACGCAAGGAGGACAUGACCUACGCUGUCCGCAAGCUGGACAACACUAAGUUCCGCUCCCACGAGGGAGAGACUGCGUAUGUGCGUGUGAAGGUGGACGGACCUCGCAGCCCCAGUUACGGACGCUCCCGCUCUCGUAGCCGUAGCAACGGGCGUAGCAACGGGCGUAGCAACAGCCGCUCGCGCAGCUUCUCACCGCCGCGACGCAGCCGUCCCUCGCCACGCUACUCGCCACGACACUCCCGAUCACGCUCCCGCAGCUAGACACAAACCACAUACACACACCUCCAGCCCAGCGGCCCCCAGGGAGAGGAUACAUCAGACCAGGAGACGGACAGACGCCGCCCGGUGGACAUUCUAAUGAAUUACACCUAAUGUUCUCUUGCCUCGGCUACCUCUUGUUCUUUCAUCCCCGUUUCCUGGUCUAGUUUGCCUCGGCUGUGGUUUGGCUUAUGACCUCUGUUCUCUUUGUAUCUGCUGACCCCUCAUCUUCCCCCGCUCUCUCUCUCAUCUGUGUAAAGGGCUUUAAUUGUUCUGUUUCUGUUAGUUUUGACUGGGGGGGUGAGAUUUAAUUUUGUUUGUGGGGCGGGAUGGUAUUUUCUUUGGCCUGUUGUGGUGUCUGUGAUGUGUUGUUGUGCUGACCUCUGACCUGUCUGUCGUGUCUCUCUGUAGAGAUCACAGGAGCAAGCUGAUAGGCUGCUGGGAAACAGGAAACUGUUCAUAUUAGGAUUAACAGGAGGAGCAGGAGGAGUCAAAUAACCAGCCAAUGGAAGGCUGUGAUUGGAGGAGGGCUCUGUCUCCCCGUCCUGGAGCCAAUCAGACCUUCAGGAUCAGAGCAGGGAUUAGGAUUAAGGAUGGAGAGAGAACGCGGAGUGGGACAGGAGCAUAGGAUCGGGACCAGCCCCCAGGCCACAGCCCAGCCCACUGGAACCUAAAUACUAGACCUAAGUCACUCAAAUGGCUCUCAAACACCCAAAAUUAGUUUAUUUUCCCGUGUGGACUCCACAGCGUCCUUCUAGGAUCCUGACCAGCGUUCUUUUAUUAUUUAAGUGGAGCUCAACGCAAAACCAGGAGUCUGGCUCAGGAUGGAGGGAGGCGCACAUAAGGAGAUUGGUAACUAGAAGGGAAUUAUAAUCUGGGGGGGGUUAAAUGUGUUUGUUCAUUAAAGGGAUGGAGGGUAAUGUGUUUCGUUUGUUUGGAGGGAGGGUGUGUUUUUUUUUUAAGGUUUGCAUUGUUUCCUCAGUAGAUUUUAUGAUUCGUUUGUUUCCCUAGUUGGUAACUUUUCAUGUUUCAGCACCUCUUCAAUAAAGUGUCUUCUACAGUA